This 257-nucleotide long non-coding RNA is filed under the name Lathyrus oleraceus (garden pea). RNAcentral's name for it is "Pisum sativum (pea) long non-coding RNA (PSAT_LNC013908)". The record is from RNAcentral. Lineage: Eukaryota; Viridiplantae; Streptophyta; Magnoliopsida; Fabales; Fabaceae.
CACUUGAUACAUUAAACGGACUAGCUAUUCUAGGAACUUUAUUAAACAAACAUAAUAAAGAAAAAGCCUUUUAUUAUUAAUAAAUAAUUCGAUACAAUGAUUAAGUCACACUUGAUACAUUAAACGGACUAGCUAUUCUAGGAACUUUAUUAAACAAACAUAAUAAAGAAAAAGCCUUUUAUUAUUAAUAAAUAAUUCGAUACAAGUACCAAAAGUAUUGGCCUUUAGGGCUUACACCAACACUUAUAAGUCUGUUC